GACGAACGCUGGCGGCGUGCCUAAUACAUGCAAGUAGAACGCUGAAGGCCGAGCUUGCUUCUCCGCAUGAGUUGCGAACGGGUGAGUAACGCGUAGGUAACCUGCCUGGUAGCUGGGGAUAACUAUUGGAAACGAUAGCUAAUACCGCAUAAGAGUAGAUGUCGCAUGACAUUUGCUUAAAAGUUGCAACUGCACCACUACCAGAUGGACCUGCGUUGUAUUAGCUAGUUGGUGGGGUAACGGCACACCAAGGCAACGAUACAUAUCCGACCUGAGAGGGGGAUCGGCCAGCCUGGGAGUGAGACCGGGCACAGAGUCACUCGGGUGGCAGCCGUAGGGAAUCUGCGGCCAGGGACGGAAGUCUGAGCGAGCAACGCGGCGUGAGUGAAGAAGGUCGUCGGAUCGUAGAGCUCUGUUGUAAGAGAAGAACGCGUGUGAGCGUGGAAAGUUCACACUGUGACGGUAUCUUAUCAGAAAGGAACGGCUAACUACGUG
Molecule: ribosomal RNA, 495 nt
Filed under: uncultured bacterium
Lineage: Bacteria
Description: partial 16S ribosomal RNA
Rfam family: Bacterial small subunit ribosomal RNA
Source: RNAcentral